Molecule: ribosomal RNA, 253 nt
Filed under: uncultured bacterium
Lineage: Bacteria
Description: partial 16S ribosomal RNA
Rfam family: Bacterial small subunit ribosomal RNA
Source: RNAcentral
GACGGAGGAUGCAAGUGUUAUCCGGAAUCACUGGGCGUAAAGCGUCUGUAGGUGGUUCGAAAAGUCCACUGUUAAAAAUUGAAGCUUAGCUUCAAAGAUGCCGUGGAAGCUUUCAAACUAGAGUGUGGUAGGGGUAGAGGGAAUUUCCAGUGGAGCGGUGAAAUGCGUAGAUAUUGGAAAGACCACCGAUGGCGAAGGCACUCUACUGGGCCAUUACUGACACUGAGAGACGAAAGCUAGGGGAGCAAAUGGG